UGAGGAAUAUUGGUCAAUGGCCGGGAGGCUGAACCAGCCAAGUCGCGUGAGGGAAGACGGUCCUAUGGAUUGUAAACCUCUUUUGUCAGGGAGCAAAAACUGCCACGCGUGGCAGGAUGAGAGUACCUGAAGAAAAAGCAUCGGCUAACUCCGUGCCAGCAGCCGCGGUAAUACGGAGGAUGCGAGCGUUAUCCGGAUUUAUUGGGUUUAAAGGGUGCGUAGGCGGACAGUUAAGUCAGCGGUAAAAUUGAGAGGCUCAACCUCUUCCCGCCGUUGAAACUGAUUGUCUUGAGUGGGCGAGAA
Molecule: ribosomal RNA, 303 nt
Filed under: uncultured bacterium
Lineage: Bacteria
Description: bacterial SSU rRNA
Rfam family: Bacterial small subunit ribosomal RNA
Source: RNAcentral